Molecule: ribosomal RNA, 931 nt
Filed under: uncultured bacterium
Lineage: Bacteria
Description: bacterial SSU rRNA
Rfam family: Bacterial small subunit ribosomal RNA
Source: RNAcentral
AGAGUUUGAUCAUGGCUCAGAAUGAACGCUGGCGGCGUGGAUUAGGCAUGCAAGUCGAACGAGAAUGCGAUCUUCGGAUCGCUAGUACAGUGGCGAACGGGUGAGUAACGCGUGGGAAACCUGCCCUCGAGUGGGGAAUAACAACUCUAACGGGUUGCUAAUACCGCAUAACAUUGCGGGCCGCAUGGUCUGCAAUCAAAGGUGGCCUCUACUUGUAAGCUGUCGCUUGAGGAUGGUCCCGCGUCCCAUUAGCUAGUUGGUAGGGUAACGGCCUACCAAGGCGACGAUGGGUAGCCGGCCUGAGAGGGUGGUCGGCCACACUGGAACUGAGACACGGUCCAGACUCCUACGGGAGGCAGCAGUCGAGAGGCUUCGGCAAUGGGGGAAACCCUGACCGAGCGACGCCGCGUGGGUGAUGAAGUCCUUCGGGAUGUAAAACCCUGUCAUACGGGAUGAAAAACCGAUUGGUUAAUAGCCUUUCAGUUUGACAGUACUGUAAGAGGAAGCUCCGGCUAACUCCGUGCCAGCAGCCGCGGUAAUACGGGGGGAGCGAGCGUUAUUCGGAUUCACUGGGCGUAAAGGGUUCGUAGGCGGUCAAGUAAGUCAGGGGUGAAAUCUAACGGCUUAACCGUUAAACUGCCCUUGAAACCGCUUGACUUGAGGACAUGAGAGGAAAGCGGAAUUCUUGGUGUAGCGGUGAAAUGCGUGGAUAUCAAGAGGAACACCGGUGGCGAAGGCGGCUUUCUGGCAUGUUACUGACGCUGAGGAACGAAAGUCAGGGGAGCGAACGGGAUUAGAUACCCCGGUAGUCCUGACUGUAAACGAUGGGCACUAGGUGUGGGAGGUAUCGACCCCUUCCGUGCCGCAGCUAACGCAUUAAGUGCCCCGCCUGGGAGUACGGCCGCAAGGUUGAAACUCAAAGGAAUUGACG